AUUGAACGCUGGCGGCAGGCCUAACACAUGCAAGUCGAGCGGAUGAAGGGAGCUUGCUCCUGGAUUCAGCGGCGGACGGGUGAGUAAUGCCUAGGAAUCUGCCUGGUAGUGGGGGAUAACGUCCGGAAACGGGCGCUAAUACCGCAUACGUCCUGAGGGAGAAAGUGGGGGAUCUUCGGACCUCACGCUAUCAGAUGAGCCUAGGUCGGAUUAGCUAGUUGGUGGGGUAAAGGCCUACCAAGGCGACGAUCCGUAACUGGUCUGAGAGGAUGAUCAGUCACACGGGAACUGAGACACGGUCCAGACUCCUACGGGAGGCAGCCGUGGGGAAUAUUGGACAAUGGGCGAAGGCCUGAUCCAGCCAUGCCGCGUGUGUGAAGAAGGUCUUCGGAUUGUAUAGCACUUUAAGUUGGGACGAAGGGCAGUAAGUUAAUACCUUGCUGUUUUGACGUUACCAAAAGAGUAAGCACCGGCUAACUUCGUG
This 484-nucleotide ribosomal RNA is filed under the name uncultured bacterium. RNAcentral's name for it is "partial 16S ribosomal RNA". It matches the Rfam family "Bacterial small subunit ribosomal RNA", at positions 30 to 507 of the family's 1533-position model. The record is from RNAcentral.